This 247-nucleotide unclassified non-coding RNA is filed under the name air metagenome. Its description in RNAcentral is "partial contains small subunit ribosomal RNA, internal transcribed spacer 1, and 5.8S ribosomal RNA". The stretch from base 1 to 46 matches the Rfam family "Eukaryotic small subunit ribosomal RNA", at positions 1786 to 1831 of the family's 1831-position model. The record is from RNAcentral.
AAGUCGUAACAAGGUUUCCGUAGGUGAACCUGCGGAAGGAUCAUUAUCGAGUUCGGGUCCUCUGGGCCCCAUCUCCAACCCUUGUCUAUCUUACCAUGUUGCUUUGGCGGGCCCGUCUUUAACCGGACCGCUGGGGAUUUACGUCCCUGGCCCGCGCCCGUCAGAAGCCCCGAUACAAUCUCUUCACAGUGACGUCUAAGUAUAACUAUAACCAAUAAAACUUUCAACAACGGAUCUCUUGGUUCUG